UUGUGCGAAUCAACGGUUCCU
RNAcentral lists this non-coding RNA (21 nucleotides) under Arabidopsis thaliana (thale cress). Lineage: Eukaryota; Viridiplantae; Streptophyta; Magnoliopsida; Brassicales; Brassicaceae. The record is from RNAcentral.